RNAcentral lists this ribosomal RNA (379 nucleotides) under uncultured eukaryote. Its description in RNAcentral is "partial 18S ribosomal RNA". It matches the Rfam family "Eukaryotic small subunit ribosomal RNA", at positions 592 to 975 of the family's 1831-position model. The record is from RNAcentral.
CAAUAGCGUAUAUUAAAGUUGUUGCAGUUAAAAAGCUCGUAGUUGGAUUUGUGGUGUACUUCGGCGGCCCGUCACUAUGUGAUGGAGCUUGCUGAAGUCGCCAUCCUUGGGUGGAUCCUGUGUGGCAUUAAGUUGUCGUGCAGGGGAUGCCCAUCGUUUACUGUGAAAAAAUUAGAGUGUUCAAAGCAGGCUUAUGCCGUUGAAUAUAUUAGCAUGGAAUAAUAAGAUAGGACCUUGGUACUAUUUUGUUGGUUUGCGCACCAAGGUAAUGAUUAAUAGGGACAGUUGGGGGUAUUCGUAUUUCAUUGUCAGAGGUGAAAUUCUUGGAUUUUUGAAAGACGAACUACUGCGAAAGCAUUUACCAAGGAUGUCUNCAUUA